RNAcentral lists this ribosomal RNA (253 nucleotides) under uncultured bacterium. RNAcentral describes it as "partial 16S ribosomal RNA". It matches the Rfam family "Bacterial small subunit ribosomal RNA", at positions 524 to 776 of the family's 1533-position model. The record is from RNAcentral.
GACGAGCAUCACAAACGUUAUUCGGAAUUACUGGGCUUAAAGGGUGCGUAGGCGGUGCAGAAAGUCGGGAGUGAAAUCCCACAGCUCAACUGUGGAAUUGCUUUCGAUACUGCUGUGCUUGAGUGAGAUAGAGGUAAGCGGAACUUAGGGUGGAGCGGUGAAAUGCGUUGAUAUCCUAAGGAACACCGGUGGCGAAGGCGGCUUACUGGGUCUCUACUGACGCUGAUGCACGAAAGCCAGGGUAGCGAACGGG